AACGCACGAGACCUGCGGACCUGCGGAAGGAUCAUUACCGAGUUUACAACUCCCAAACCCCUGUGAACAUACCACUUGUUGCCUCGGCGGAUCAGCCCGCUCCCGGUAAAACGGGACGGCCCGCCAGAGGACCCCUAAACUCUGUUUCUAUAUGUAACUUCUGAGUAAAACCAUAAAUAAAUCAAAACUUUCAACAAUGGAUCUCU
RNAcentral lists this unclassified non-coding RNA (206 nucleotides) under soil metagenome. RNAcentral describes it as "partial contains 5.8S ribosomal RNA, internal transcribed spacer 2, and large subunit ribosomal RNA". The record is from RNAcentral.